RNAcentral lists this non-coding RNA (92 nucleotides) under Sterolibacterium denitrificans. Its description in RNAcentral is "Glycine riboswitch aptamer". It matches the Rfam family "Glycine riboswitch aptamer". From Rfam's summary of the family: This family represents the bacterial glycine riboswitch. Glycine riboswitches usually consist of two metabolite-binding aptamers domains with similar structures in tandem. Lineage: Bacteria; Pseudomonadati; Pseudomonadota; Betaproteobacteria; Nitrosomonadales; Sterolibacteriaceae. The record is from Rfam by way of RNAcentral.
GGCCCGUCGCAGGGAGAGCGUGAACAUGAAUUCCGUUCACCGCCGAAGGCGCAAUCCCGUAACCGCUCAGGCCAACGAACCGGCGACGCAGG